UAUUUAAGUAGUUUAAUAAAAAUAUUGAUUUGUGGUGUCAAUGAUAUGAAAAGUUCAUCUUAGAUC
Molecule: transfer RNA, 66 nt
Filed under: Platypeza sp. XL-2018
Lineage: Eukaryota; Metazoa; Arthropoda; Insecta; Diptera; Platypezidae
Description: tRNA-His
Source: RNAcentral